This 7928-nucleotide long non-coding RNA is filed under the name Citrus sinensis (sweet orange). RNAcentral's name for it is "long non-coding RNA (CSIN_LNC002801)". The record is from RNAcentral. Lineage: Eukaryota; Viridiplantae; Streptophyta; Magnoliopsida; Sapindales; Rutaceae.
UGCCUAGUCCGAUAGCAGAACCCAAAUGAUACAGGCUUUACCGUUCCAAACGAAACCAAAAACAAAACUACUAACUUUAUGGUCGCCAUUAAUUCUUAUUCGAAUUUAUUUCUGAAAACAACUCUUUUUUUUUUUUUUGGCCCCUUCAAGCACAUAAUUAAGGUUCUUAGUUCCAUUGCUAGACUAAUGUCCAGUAUUUAGCUUAAAUCAGCUGGAAGGAGGAGCAGAAGCUUUGAGUUCGGCAAGCUUAUCGGUCUCAGGCAUAACAUCUUUGACAGCAGCGUCAGCACAGAAUCUCUCAGCCCAUUUGAACAGUCCAGGAGUUUUGACUUCAUCAAGGAGCUUCACCUCAUUCAUUUUCUCUGUCACUCUCAGCCAUCCCAAGUAGCUACCAAAUGCAAUGUCAAGAAACCCAAUUUGGUUUCCACCAAAGAAAGCCUUCCCUUUGCUACACUUAACAAAAGCAUCCUCCAGCAAAACCAAGACUUCAAUCAAUUGCUCAAUUGCAGCUUUCUUAGCUUCCGCUCCAUUUGCACUACCAAUGUCUCUCAAGGCAGAGAACCACUGCAAAUCAUAAUAGAUAUAUCAUAAUUUGAUCAAUCAAGGCCAGAUUUCAAUCACUACCUACCAAUUGAUUCUUAUAUCUUGCUAUCUCUCUAAUCUCUAUCAGUAUCAUCUCUUAAGAUUCAUGUAUAUUUGUUUCCUUAGAUAUGUGAGUAUACGUCACUUCUACAGAUUUACUUCUAGAUUGUAUUGAUUGUUUUCCUUUUGGGCUCUGCUUUCUUAAUCUUUCUUUAGUUUUCUUUUCAAGUUCAUUUUUCCACCGGAAAUAAUUCCAACCACGCGCUUUACCUCCUUGAUUUACCAAGAGAGACUCUAUUAAUUUCCGAAAACAGUUUUCAAAACUGAAAAAGAUUAAAAAAUUUUAGAUGCACAUAAUUCGAAUAAAAAGCAUUGACUUAAAACAUUUUUUUCAAAACAAAGAAAGGAAAAUAUACCUUCUCAUCAACGUAAGCGGCCCAGAAACGAGCAACGGCACGGUCAUAAGGAUCAGAAGGAAGAAUAGAGGGACCUGAAGAGGACCAAGCCUCAUCCACGUACUCGACAAUGAUGAGAGAUUCGCAAACAGGCUUAUCAUUGUGAAUCAGAACGGGGAUUUUCUUGUGAACAGGGUUUGAUUUAAGCAGAAGCUCGCUUUUGGAUCCCAAAUUCUCCUCCAGAAACUCAUACUCCACAGACUUGAUCUUAAGUGCGAUUCUUGCCCUCAUCAGAAAUGGGCUUGGCCAAAAACCCAAAACCUUCACGUCGCUUUUUGCCAUUUUUUUUUUCUCUCUAAGCUCUGCUCUCGCAACUGAAAUGAAAUGUCUUUUGCUUCGUGGGCUGUGUAUUUAUAAUUAGAGCCAGAUGAAUGUAGGGGAUGUGAACUACGCCACUAAUGUGAACGUUUGACUGUUAGAGAGGUACGAAAUGGGCAGCUCGGAAUCAUUUAUGUUACGGCUUCCGUAAGUAACAGCAGCCAAUGGGGAACUUCUACGGGUGCCAGAGGAGAGAGAAAGAGGUCCCAAUGCAAGGUGAUGGAAAUGGGAAGGUUCGAAGCUGUUACUUGCAGCUUCCGCGCCGUAGCCAUGUCCCAUUUUCAUGGAUAUUUAUUGGUCUUUCCGAUGUGAGUCAGCGAGUGUUCACACAUUGAAAUGACCGAAAACAAAUAAUGACAGUUUGUCCUUUCGUCCUUUGACCAAGCAAGUUGUUGUUAUUAUAAGCUGGCGGCUCGUUGGAAUUGGAUUGGAAGGCUCAAGGGCGGUAACUGGUAAGAAUUAAGAAGUGCGUGGGAGAUGCGAUUUGUCUGGAUGGCUGCACCACAUCCACAAGAUAUGCAUGCCGUGGAUCUGGAGACAGUCCAAGAGUUUUAUGAAUUAAAAAAGCUGGUGACUUACGAAGGCACGUGGAGAUAGUAUUUUCUGACAAAUGCCCCAAAAGGCAAAAAGGCCACAAAAAUACAUGCACCAGCCGGGAAUCGAACCCCCGUGGCAGGGUGCUAUUCUACCACUAGACCACUGGUGCGUCUCUCCUCCUCUGCAGCUGUGGAAGUUGUCUUCGUAAAAGCUUAAUAAUGGAGUUUUCAUAACCACAAACUCAGGAAUUCCACCAUAAUUACAAGUACCGAUGAGUUGCUUGGGUUCAAUUGUCAUCAGUCAGUCACUUCAACAAAUUCAUAAAGUGUAAUUAAUGAUAAUAGAAUCUUUUUGUGAUGUUUGUUUCUUCUUUUUCUAAUGCAUGAAAAGGAAGUACAAAGGUAAAACAAAUGUCAACCGGAGAGCAAAAGCAACUUCACAGGGUGAAAAAACCUAUAAAAUAUGCUGUAGACUCAUCUAAACUAGCCACCAACAAAAAUUCCAGCCCUUACAACUAAAAUACCCCACAGGAUUAGAUAGCUUUAUAAACCGGCAAAGCUUAUGUUACAUUUGCUGUAACAAACAAUCAGUACAUUUGGGUGGUUGGAUUUUAAUAUUUUUCAAUCCAAUGAAUGAAAAUAACUUUAACCUAAAAUGAGGUAUGGGUGUAAUAACUUUUUACAAAAAUUUUUAUUUUGAAUCACAUAUUUAUUUUUUUUUUUAAGUAAAUAAAUCAUUAGAAUCUCUAAUAAUUUUACAAAAUAUAUAAAUUAUUGAGUUACCACAUUCUAACUGCAUACGAAGAGGAUUUUCUUAUAAAAGAUUUUAAUUCUUUGAUCCGAUCAAUGAUUCAAAUAUGUGGGAAAAUAAUCAAUUAAAUUGAUUUUCACUAUAUUUAUUAAAUAAAUUAGGAAACUCAAAUUUAUUUAUAAAUGAUUUAGAAAAAGCAAACGAUACCACAUUGUAGCUAUAUACAAAGAGGAUUUUCUUACGAAAGAUUUUAAUCCUCUAAUUUGAUCAAUGAUUUGUACAUGCGGGAAAAUAAUCAAUUAAAUUGAAUUUCACUAUAUUUAUUAAAUAAAUUAGGAAACCCAAAUUUAUUUAUAAAUGAUAUAGAAAAAGUAAACAAAAUAUUAUAAAUUAAUAAUUUUAAUGAAGAAAACAUCAAACAAAUUAAAAAGUUAGGAGAUCAAAUGAGUAAAAAAUUUAAUAAGGUUAAACAAUUAAUAAAAAACUUCACAUUGAAGAUAAUGAUAUAUUAAAGUAAGAAAUUGUUAAUAUAAUAAAUAAAAAAUUAAUAAUAUAAGAUUAAACAAGUUAGAGAUUCAAUUAGAUAAAAUAAAAACUUGGUACUGAAUUUGCUAUAAAUAUAAAUAAAAAACUUAAACAAAUUGAAGUACUAUUGCAGUGUAGUUUGGGGUUUAAAAUAAAACUUUAAAAGUUAUUGACUUUUUCAUAAUUAUUAACUUUUCUGAGGAUUCAAAAAUUUAUAGUUGUAACUUACAGCUGAUGUAACAUAAGCUCUGCCUUAUAAACCUGGCAAAGAAAGUAACCAAAGCAAACCAGGCUAUUCCUGUGUUUUAAUAAUCCAAAGCAAAUUGAAGAAACUUUUGCUUCAAGUUUCCAAAGCACUGGUCAAUGGUAAACAAUGCUGAAAAGAACAAUGCUUAAUGCAUGAAUAUUUGGAAAAACAAUAUUACAGCCAAAAAAAAAAGUCCAUAAACGAAAAAUAAUAAGAAUUAAAUUGUGUAAAUAUUUUAAUAUAAAUUUGUAAGCAUGCAUAAACAAAAUUAGAAGAUGCAACUGAAUAUACUUAUAGAAAAGAUAUGAUCUACUGCAAUAUAGAAAUUUAAAAUCACAAUUAAACCUGGUUCAGUGUAUCCCAGGCUUUUAGCAGCUUUAACAACUUGACUAAGUGGCUUCCCAUCUUCAACCUCGCUCAUUACAUACCCCAAUGUACCUAAUACAAAAUAUAUUAUGCAAAUGACAGCCAAUAUUCAUAUAUGAAAUAUGGUUGCAAAAAAAUACAAGCAGAUACAGGAAAAGCAUGAACUUCAUAUGUGAAGGAAGAAUAAAUGUCUAACCCAAAAAAAAAAAGAAAAGAAGAAAACCAAUACCACUCAGACUUCCAACAAUACCAUGGACAGGGUCUCCUGAAGAAAGAAUACGAUUUAAGGAUGCUAUGACAGGAAGGCCAGCACCAACCUAUGGAGAAACAGACAUCAAAUGAGACACUUCACCCACGAUUUCCUUUUAUAUGACAAAAGCAGGAAACUUCACUUACAGUUGACUCAUACCGAAUACAGCGUGGACGUGAGACCAAUUUGUCAUAAUCCUCCUACAUUACAGAAUAGCAUGAGGUUGGUUAAAAAUUCACAUGCAAUAGAAACAACUUGUUAAGCAUGAAUAGCAGACAAAACGGUAUGGAAAAUAAAGGGACAACAAAAAGUUAUCAUUUUCCUUCAACAGAUUUAUAUAUGCUCUUCCAAUUAGUGAUUUGUUGAGGAAUUUUCAUUAUCUUCUCUAGAUGAAAUUCAAAAACAUUAAUAUUGCACUAAAUUGCUCAAUGAAAAUUUGUCAUUUUUAAUUUUAAAAGAAUUAAACACCAAACGUAAUUCAUCUUAAAUGGUAAAAAUAUAGAAUGUUCGAACUGGCCACAAAAGAAAUGGCAUUGCAGCAUUUAAUGACAGCAGGAAGUGUCGCCAUCUCCAGAAUUAAGUCUGCUAGUGGUUGAUCACAGAAUAAAAAAAGUCCAUAAACGAAAAAUAAUAAGAAUUAAAUUGUGUAAAUAUUUUAAUAUAAAUUUGUAAGCAUGCAUAAACAAAAUUAGAAGAUGCAACUGAAUAUACUUAUAGAAAAGAUAUGAUCUACUGCAAUAUAGAAAUUUAAAAUCACAAUUAAACCUGGUUCAGUGUAUCCCAGGCUUUUAGCAGCUUUAACAACUUGACUAAGUGGCUUCCCAUCUUCAACCUCGCUCAUUACAUACCCCAAUGUACCUAAUACAAAAUAUAUUAUGCAAAUGACAGCCAAUAUUCAUAUAUGAAAUAUGGUUGCAAAAAAAUACAAGCAGAUACAGGAAAAGCAUGAACUUCAUAUGUGAAGGAAGAAUAAAUGUCUAACCCAAAAAAAAAAAGAAAAGAAGAAAACCAAUACCACUCAGACUUCCAACAAUACCAUGGACAGGGUCUCCUGAAGAAAGAAUACGAUUUAAGGAUGCUAUGACAGGAAGGCCAGCACCAACCUAUGGAGAAACAGACAUCAAAUGAGACACUUCACCCACGAUUUCCUUUUAUAUGACAAAAGCAGGAAACUUCACUUACAGUUGACUCAUACCGAAUACAGCGUGGACGUGAGACCAAUUUGUCAUAAUCCUCCUACAUUACAGAAUAGCAUGAGGUUGGUUAAAAAUUCACAUGCAAUAGAAACAACUUGUUAAGCAUGAAUAGCAGACAAAACGGUAUGGAAAAUAAAGGGACAACAAAAAGUUAUCAUUUUCCUUCAACAGAUUUAUAUAUGCUCUUCCAAUUAGUGAUUUGUUGAGGAAUUUUCAUUAUCUUCUCUAGAUGAAAUUCAAAAACAUUAAUAUUGCACUAAAUUGCUCAAUGAAAAUUUGUCAUUUUUAAUUUUAAAAGAAUUAAACACCAAACGUAAUUCAUCUUAAAUGGUAAAAAUAUAGAAUGUUCGAACUGGCCACAAAAGAAAUGGCAUUGCAGCAUUUAAUGACAGCAGGAAGUGUCGCCAUCUCCAGAAUUAAGUCUGCUAGUGGUUGAUCACAGAAUAGCCAUAGGAUGACUAUACAUGUCCAACUAAGUCCAUUUACUACCAAAUAAGGAAGCCUUGUAAAGUUAUUACCAUUGUAGAUGUAAGAGGCUUCUUGUUUGCCAAGACAAUGCAACAACCCAAAUCAACUGCUUGAGUUAAUAUUUCAACAGUCUCAGAACUGGCAGAGCAAUCAACAAAGGCCAAACCUGUUUCAAGAUUAAGCAAAAGACCAAGCUUGAAAUGACCUUACUUGAGGUGAAUGAAUGAUAAGAAUCACUAAACUCUAAAAACAAACAUGAAACUUCAAUUGAUUGAACAACAAAUCAGUGUUUCAAAAGAAGUAUAAAGGCCGGUGAGAUAGUAAUUGUCAUGAAGACGAACCUGUUGAUAUACCCAGAAGAGAUGCAAUUUCUGAUAACUUUCCUCUCAAAUCAGAAUCGAGAAACACUUGGCAUUCACCUUUGAUAAAGAAUCAAAAGAAAAGCAAAAGCAUGAGAAAUAAACAGAAUGAGUAAUCUAUUAUAUCCUCAACAAUACAAUAUAAGAGGAUUACCUCCGAAACCACCAAUAAGAGUUGAGAGAGAAGAGUGGCCCGCCUUGAGGCGACAAAUUUCUGAUAAGAGGUUAUCGUUGAACUCCUUUGUGAAAACAUCCGACGCAACAACCAAUGACUUGCUGUCACUUACUCCUACCACUCGCAAAUGCACUCCCUGCCGUGCCGACCGAUCAUCAAUCAUGAAAUGUUACAGUUAAAACAAAUUUACCAGUCUUCUAUAGAAACAGAAUCAUCGACGAGUUUAUUAGAAGGCAGGCAAGUGCAUAUCAAAAGAAUACAUCUCCGACAUGUAAUAAUUAAUGAAUAUAUAGCUACUAAAUAAUUAAUUAAUUAGUUAAUUUGUGGGGCGCUAAUAAACUUCGGAAAGUGGAGAAGGAGUACCAGAUUGGCAUGAAGUGAUCGGCAGGAAACAAUGUGCUGGAGGAGCUGGCGUCCAACUUCUCCGCAUCCCAUCAGAACCAAAGGGGUUUUCGUCAGUGUUGCCAUUUUUUCUCUCUUUUUAUUUAUUUUAAAUGGGGACUGGCGCUGCGGUCUCAGACUCUCGGUGGCUUAGCACAGCUUCUUGUUUAAUAACUUUGGUUAGGGUCCGACGAAGUCAGGACGAAUUGGGCCUCAGGGUAGGGCCGGAUAUACAGACCGUAUUUUACCGGCCGUUUCGGUUGACUGGUGUGGUGGUGGUGUUAAGAAUUGAUUUCUGGGAAAGAGAAUAACAGAAUAUCAAAUUCUGCACACAAUUUAUUCAAUCAACACAUGUUUGAUGGUCAUUUUAAUCGGUUUUGAUAUGAUUAUUAAUAACUACUUUGUCCAGCAGUGUGCUCGUAGCCAAAGUCUCAUUUUAGGAUGAUAAAGAUUAUGAAUUGAUUUUAGCCAUAUGCCCAAACAGAUUUUAAUAUUUAAAUUCUAAAUUAAAUUUGAUACCAUGUAUUACUCAUCUAUGGAAUGAUAAAUGCAAAAUUAUUUAUUCCUUGAUUGUACUAUUCAAUUGAUAAGUGCAAUAGAAUUCAGAUUGCAACUCAAAUAUUUAAGAUUAUUGAGUUCGAAAAUCGUUAAUUCUUGCUAAAUGCCAUGCGGGAAUUCCACCGUUACAUAAUACGAUAACUUUUAUAACAACGAAUAUGGCACGUAGCCCAGAUGUGUACCGUAUGUGGGAAAAAAUUCUGCGGAGAAAAACAACACAAUAACCUUUAUACCUUCACUUGGUAUACAUGAGUCUACGAGAGAGGCUGCAGCCUAGCCCGAUAACAGAACCCAAAUGAUACAGGCUUUACCGUUCCAAACGAAACCAAAAACAAAACUUAAUUCUUAUUCGAAUUUAUUUCUGGAAACAACUCUUUUUUUUUUUUUCUUUUUUUUUGUGCCCCUCCAAGCACAGAAUUAAGCUUCUUAAUUCCAUUUGCCAGAAGCUCUGAGUUUGGCAAGAACCUUAGCAAACUCUGCAAGCUUAUCAGUCUCAGGCAUAACAUCUUUGACAGCGGCAUCAGCACAGAAUCUCUCAGCCCAUUUGAACAGUCCAGGAGUUUUGACUUCAUCAAGGAGCUUCACCUCAAUCAUUUUCUCUGUCACUCUCACCCAUCCCAAGUAGCAACCAAAUGCAAUGUCAAGAAACCCAAUUUGGCUUCCACCAAAGAAAGGCUUCCCUUUGCUACACUUAACAAAAGCAUCCUCCAGCAAAACCAAGCCUUCAAUCAAUUGCUCAAUCGCAGCUUCCUUAGCUUCCG